UACAGAGGUCUCAAGCGUUGUUCGGAUUCAUUGGGCGUAAAGGGUGUGUAGGUGGCGCGCUAAGUCGGGUGUGAAAUUUCGGAGCUUAACUCCGAAACUGCAUUCGAUACUGGCGUGCUUGAGGACUGGAGAGGAGACUGGAAUUCAUGGUGUAGCAGUGAAAUGCGUAGAGAUCAUGAGGAAGACCAGUGGCGAAGGCGGGUCUCUGGACAGUUCCUGACGCUGAGGCACGAAGGCCAGGGGAGUAAACGGG
RNAcentral lists this ribosomal RNA (253 nucleotides) under uncultured bacterium. RNAcentral describes it as "partial 16S ribosomal RNA". It matches the Rfam family "Bacterial small subunit ribosomal RNA", at positions 524 to 776 of the family's 1533-position model. The record is from RNAcentral.